GUAACGACAUGUUCUUGUGAAAGAUCUAUAUCAACGCUACGACGAGUAAAAACAUAUUUAAGAAGCUCGAUGACCCAGAAUCGAUUUAAUGGCUAUGUGUUGCUAAAUAUCCAAAACGGGAUGAAAAUAAAUUUAAAUGACGUAAUCGAUAUGCUGGCAAUAAAAUAUCCAAAAAGACUUAAAAUGUUAGAUAUCAUGAACAACGAUUAAAAGUGUAGCAGUCUUGAUAAAAAUAUAAAUCUUGUAUAUUAUUAUCUGUUGUUUAAAUGUCGCCGUAUAUAAAUUCCCUAAAA
This is a long non-coding RNA of Hydractinia symbiolongicarpus, 293 nucleotides long. RefSeq lists it as uncharacterized. The transcript is spliced from 2 exons. The record is from RefSeq and is a predicted model, not a curated record. NCBI's taxonomy places the organism in Eukaryota, Metazoa, Cnidaria, Hydrozoa, Anthoathecata, Hydractiniidae.